Long non-coding RNA from Protopterus annectens (West African lungfish), 418 nucleotides. RefSeq lists it as uncharacterized. NCBI's taxonomy places the organism in Eukaryota, Metazoa, Chordata, Ceratodontiformes, Protopteridae. The transcript has 2 exons. The record is from RefSeq and is a predicted model, not a curated record.
GUCAGGAGGAGGGCUGACUUUCAAUAGAUCGCAGCUUUUUGCUGCUCUGCUACGUACGAAACCCUGACCCAGAAUCAGGUUGUCUACGAAUGAUUUAGCACCCGGUUCCCCACGAACGUACGGUGCACUGCUGGAGAGAGGCGGCCCCCUUCCAUCCUCGCUCCGACCCAGUGACGAGCGGCGCUCCUCGCCAGCCGGCUAUCCCUGGCCAACCGGAGAUCCGCGGCACUGCGGUAUCGUUACGUUUAGGCGGGAUUCUGACUUAGAAGCGUUUAGUCAUAAUCCCACAGAUGGUAGCUUCGCACCAUUGGCUCCUCAGCCAUGCACAUACACCAAAUGUCUGAACCUGUGGUUCCUCUCGUACUGAACAGGAUUACUAUCGCAAAAACACAUCAUCAGUAGGGUAAAACUAACCUGU